RNAcentral lists this ribosomal RNA (507 nucleotides) under uncultured bacterium. RNAcentral's name for it is "partial 16S ribosomal RNA". It matches the Rfam family "Bacterial small subunit ribosomal RNA", at positions 355 to 855 of the family's 1533-position model. The record is from RNAcentral.
UGGGGAAUUUUGGACAAUGGGGGAAACCCUGAUCCAGCCAUCCCGCGUGUGCGAUGAAGGCCUUCGGGUUGUAAAGCACUUUUGGCAGGAAAGAAACGUCGCGGGUUAAUACCCCGCGAAACUGACGGUACCUGCAGAAUAAGCACCGGCUAACUACGUGCCAGCAGCCGCGGUAAUACGUAGGGUGCAAGCGUUAAUCGGAAUUACUGGGCGUAAAGCGUGCGCAGGCGGUUCGGAAAGAAAGAUGUGAAAUCCCAGAGCUUAACUUUGGAACUGCAUUUUUAACUACCGGGCUAGAGUGUGUCAGAGGGAGGUGGAAUUCCGCGUGUAGCAGUGAAAUGCGUAGAUAUGCGGAGGAACACCGAUGGCGAAGGCAGCCUCCUGGGAUAACACUGACGCUCAUGCACGAAAGCGUGGGGAGCAAACAGGAUUAGAUACCCUGGUAGUCCACGCCCUAAACGAUGUCAACUAGCUGUUGGGGCCUUCGGGCCUUGGUAGCGCAGCUAA